This 602-nucleotide ribosomal RNA is filed under the name Odorrana aureola. RNAcentral's name for it is "partial 16S ribosomal RNA". The stretch from base 346 to 594 matches the Rfam family "Archaeal large subunit ribosomal RNA", at positions 1787 to 2143 of the family's 2987-position model. The record is from RNAcentral. Lineage: Eukaryota; Metazoa; Chordata; Amphibia; Anura; Ranidae.
UUAUUUGAAACAGGAUACAACCUCCACCACUGGGUAAAAAGGAAUAAUAAAAACAAAGUGGGCCCGAAAGCAGCCACCUUUAAAAAAGCGUCCAAGCUUGACUAUCAUAGUUCCAAAUCACUAAAACAUCCACUAACCCAUCACUUCUAUUGAACCACUUUAUAUUAUUAUAAAAACGAUUAUGCUAGAACUAGUAACAAGAACUUGCCAUUCUCCACAAUGUAAUUAUAAACCAAAACGGACUCUCCAUUGGUAAUUAACGUAAAUGCAAAACCAUAAUAACACAUAAACCAGAAAACCCUAUGGCUACCAACACGUUACCCUAACACUAGAACAUUACAGGAAAGAUUAAAAGAAAGAGAAGGAACUCGGCAAAUUUUAGCCCCGCCUGUUUACCAAAAACAUCGCCUCUUGCUUAAACAUAAGAGGUCCAGCCUGCCCAGUGAUAACAUUUAACGGCCGCGGUAUUCUGACCGUGCGAAGGUAGCAUAAUCACUUGUUCCUUAAAUAGGGACUCGUAUCAACGGCAUCACGAGGGCUAUACUGUCUCCCCUAUCCAAUCAGUGAAACUGAUCCCCCCGUGAAGAAGCGGGGAUUUAAUU